UAGUGGUGGCAAAAGAGGAGUUUGGCGCCGGCCCAAUAUCAAGGUCCAUAGCUGGCCUAGUUCACUGCAAGGGGGUGCGUUGAGUGUUGUAGGUGUGGAUAGCAAUGAUCCAAUAUGCCUAGGGUGUGGAUGAAGCCCAAACGAGGGAUUCGGGAGGGGGGUUCAACACACCAAUUCACUUCUCACAUGCUCAACAUUCAUCACGUCCCCUUCCUCUUCUCAUUUUCUCAAAUAUGCCUCGCCAGUGACUAACAACUUCGCUGCGCCGGAGCUCAUCGUCGGCGACGACCGAGCACGAAACCACACAGCCCUAUCUGAUAUGAACUGUCUCCCCCUGCUAUAUCCAUAUCCUCCAUCAAAUUUAUCAAAUAACUCAACGUAGACAUGAAUCGAAGUCAAGACCACGUAAACCCUAAGCUACCAAAAAUGAAAUUAAGUGAUGUUCAAGCGUAACAAGAAGACCAAACCAUGGGGGUUUGGCUCCUGAGUCAGACAUCUACAUCACAACAACUUCAGAUUGGAAGAAAAAGGAAGAAAAGGUACCUACCAGAGCAGCUCUGGUGACAUUCACCGACGAGAAGAAGAUCAAAAUCUGGUAACAUUCCUUGAAUCUCUUUCUCAUUAUUCUUCUUACUGCUUCUGAAUUAUUGUGCAUGUUGUGCUUGCUGAUUCCAUGUGUGAGUGUGAGAUUAAGAGUUGAAUGCCUGAGGUUGCAAGCUGAGUAUGGAGGAGAUGAAUUCAAAUUCUGUUGAGAGAAAUUGGGAGGGAAAAAGAGAUAAGAGAUAGUGAAUUUUGCAGAUACAAAAUUGAGAGGGAAAUUUGGUGAAAAAUGAAUCGUGAAGAAAAAAAGUGAAAUUGACGAGGGAUCUGAUUUAUAGCCGUGAUUGAGGUUAAUCAAGUGGCUUUUUGAUCAUGGAGCUUGAAUUUGGACAUGGUUUUGGACUUCUUGUGGAAUGCUAGAACAUGCUAAUCAUAUAGAAUUGCUUGGAACACCAUGGUUAUGGGAUGGAAAGUGAACUUUGGUCAUGUUGUAGUUUGUAGUAGUUAUUUGAAAUGUUGUAAUGGUCUAUGUAAUUGGAAAUGUAUCUAUGCAAUUCAUGGUUUUUACACAUUGAAUAAAAAAAGUAAUUUUGGAAA
Lathyrus oleraceus (garden pea) is the source of this 1137-nucleotide long non-coding RNA. RefSeq lists it as uncharacterized. The record is from RefSeq and is a predicted model, not a curated record. The transcript is spliced from 2 exons. NCBI's taxonomy places the organism in Eukaryota, Viridiplantae, Streptophyta, Magnoliopsida, Fabales, Fabaceae.